GCCCGUCUGGCGAAAUUGGCAGACGCGCCAGCCUCAGGAGCUGGUGUCCGAAAGGACGUCCGAGUUCGAGUCUCGGGAUGGGCA
Molecule: transfer RNA, 84 nt
Filed under: Paenarthrobacter sp. YJN-5
Lineage: Bacteria; Bacillati; Actinomycetota; Actinomycetes; Micrococcales; Micrococcaceae
Description: tRNA-Leu
Source: RNAcentral